RNAcentral lists this ribosomal RNA (468 nucleotides) under uncultured bacterium. Its description in RNAcentral is "partial 16S ribosomal RNA". It matches the Rfam family "Bacterial small subunit ribosomal RNA", at positions 28 to 507 of the family's 1533-position model. The record is from RNAcentral.
GACGAACGCUGGCGGCGUGCUUAACACAUGCAAGUCGAACGGAAAGGCCCUGCUUUUGUGCGGUGCUCGAGUGGCGAACGGGUGAGUAACACGUGAGUAACCUGCCCCUGACUUUGGGAUAACUUCAGGAAACUGGGUCUCAUCCCGGCUAGGAGCUCCCGCUGCAUGGUGGGGGCUGGAUAGUUUCGGCGGUUGGGGAUGGACUCGCGGCUUAUCAGCUUGUUGGUGGGGUAGUGGCUUACCAAGGCUUUGACGGGUAGCCGGCCUGGGAGGAGGACCGGACACAUUGGGACUGAGAUGCGGCCCGGACUCGUACGGGAGGCAGCGGAGGAGAAUAUUGCACAGUGGGCGGAAGCCUGGUGCAGCAAAGCAGCGUGCGGGAUGACGGCAUUCGGGUUGUAUACCGCUUUCGCCUGUGACGAGGCGUGAGUGACGGUAAUGGGUAAAGAAGCACCGGCUAACUACGUG